This 111-nucleotide ribosomal RNA is filed under the name Mercenaria mercenaria. RNAcentral describes it as "partial 28S ribosomal RNA". It matches the Rfam family "Eukaryotic large subunit ribosomal RNA", at positions 1 to 109 of the family's 3401-position model. The record is from RNAcentral. Lineage: Eukaryota; Metazoa; Mollusca; Bivalvia; Venerida; Veneridae. RNAcentral also lists the same sequence under 1 other name.
UCCGACCUCGGAUCAGACGGGGAUACCCGCUGAAUUUAAGCAUAUCAGUAAGCGGAGGAAAAGAAACUAACCAGGAUUCCCUCAGUAACGGCGAGUGAAGCGGGAAGAGCC